Molecule: long non-coding RNA, 244 nt
Organism: Triticum aestivum (bread wheat)
Lineage: Eukaryota; Viridiplantae; Streptophyta; Magnoliopsida; Poales; Poaceae
Exons: 2
Source: RefSeq, a predicted model, not a curated record
GUAUCCCAAGGAUAAAUUCAAGAACAAGUGGGAUGCCAUAAAAAAUGAGUACACUUGGUUCAUGGAGUUGAAAAAUGAAGCAACUGGGCUUGGAUGGGAUGAUGCAAAGAGAAUCGUUGAUUGCUCUAAAGAAUGGUGGGAUGAACAUAUCAAGAGAUGCCAAGAGAGUACAGGAAAGAAAUGCAAUCAUAUGAAGUUCAAAAAACAGGGACCAAAGCACCUUGAAGAUUUGCACAUCAUAUUU